RNAcentral lists this microRNA (23 nucleotides) under Sarcophilus harrisii (Tasmanian devil). RNAcentral describes it as "Sha-Mir-7373-o8d1_5p (mature (guide))". The record is from RNAcentral. Lineage: Eukaryota; Metazoa; Chordata; Mammalia; Dasyuromorphia; Dasyuridae.
AAGCCCUUACCCCCCUCUUUGCU